GGACGACGUGCAGGAGGAAAGCAGUGCCUGCUUAUCAAGAGAGAAAAAGCAAGAGCACUGGAGGCCGCGACUCCCCCCCAUUUUGGAGACCUGCGUUGAGUCGGACGAAGAAGACCAGCCGGCAGAAGAGGAGCUCUCUCCUACUGAGGAGAAGACGCAGACCUCGGAGGAUUCGAUGGAAGUGCAGGUGGGCUCCGGGAUCAACAGCCUGGAGGAUUUUGACUCCAUUUCUGCCCUCUUGGAUGAGGAGUCUGAGGGAAGCUGGGAGCAGGCUGCAGAGGCUUUGGAGGCCAGCCUUUCGUCCAGUCCGUGGGAUUCUCCUGAAGAAGGGGAAGGCACGCUGGAGAAUCUCAGCAGCCUGGAGGAAGACUCCCUGGACUUCAGUCUCUAAUUAAAAGAGAUGCUUCCCCAGAUGCCUCUCCAGUUGGCAGAUCGGAGAAGGAUGAACCAGUCCCAGGCACAUCAGGAGACGGACGGCGAUGGACGGCGGAAUCCGACCCAGCAGCGAAGACCAGCGAUGAGCCACUUUCCCCCAAGGAACUUUCUGCGUCUUGUUAUUGUUGUUGUUUUUGUAAUUGUUCUUUUUGUUGUACUUGCUCUUGUUGUUCUAGUUAUUGUUCGGAGAAUAAAAGUAAAAAAGAUUUUAUAUAUACUAAUUUAGCUUAGGCCUAUUUUCAUUACACUUUUGUUAGGAAUAGGGUAAACUUUUCAUUAAAUGUAAAUUUCAGCAAAA
Molecule: long non-coding RNA, 733 nt
Organism: Crotalus tigris (Tiger rattlesnake)
Lineage: Eukaryota; Metazoa; Chordata; Lepidosauria; Squamata; Viperidae
Exons: 7
Source: RefSeq, a predicted model, not a curated record